RNAcentral lists this ribosomal RNA (497 nucleotides) under uncultured bacterium. Its description in RNAcentral is "partial 16S ribosomal RNA". It matches the Rfam family "Bacterial small subunit ribosomal RNA", at positions 28 to 507 of the family's 1533-position model. The record is from RNAcentral.
GAUGAACGCUGGCGGCGUGCCUAAUACAUGCAAGUCGAGCGAACGGACGAGAAGCUUGCUUCUCUGAUGUUAGCGGCGGACGGGUGAGUAACACGUGGAUAACCUCCCUAUAAGACUGGGAUAACUUCGGGAAACCGGAGCUAAUACCGGAUAAUAUUUUGAACCGCAUGGUUCAAAAGUGAAAGACGGUCUUGCUGUCACUUAUAGAUGGAUCAGCGCUGCAUUAGCUAGUUGGUAAGGUAACGGCUUACCAAGGCAACGAUGCAUAGCCGACCUGAGAGGGUGAUCGGCCACACUGGAACUGAGACACGGUCCAGACUCCUACAGGAGGCAGCAGUAGGGAAUCUUCCGCAAUGGGCGAAAGCCUGACGGAGCAACGCCGCGUGAGUGAUGAAGGUCUUCGGAUCGUAAAACUCUGUUAUUAGGGAAGAACAUAUGUGUAAGUAACUGUGCACAUCUUGACGGUACCUGAUCAGAAAGCCACGGCUAACUACGUG